UAUGAAAACACUGAGCACUGAAGGAGAUGUGGAGUCUGGACACAGCCACUCUUCCCACCCCAGACUGACCAUAUCAGGGUGCAGUGUGAUGGUGAGCAGCUUGCCCAGCUCUUCUGAAGCUCACAUUUAAUGGACCAAAGGUGCUCCUUUGAUUGGUGAGGAUGCCCCAG
Long non-coding RNA from Parus major (Great Tit), 170 nucleotides. RefSeq lists it as uncharacterized. The record is from RefSeq and is a predicted model, not a curated record. Lineage: Eukaryota; Metazoa; Chordata; Aves; Passeriformes; Paridae. The transcript is spliced from 3 exons.